This 776-nucleotide ribosomal RNA is filed under the name uncultured Neocallimastigales. RNAcentral describes it as "partial large subunit ribosomal RNA". It matches the Rfam family "Eukaryotic large subunit ribosomal RNA", at positions 25 to 627 of the family's 3401-position model. Lineage: Eukaryota; Fungi; Neocallimastigomycota; Neocallimastigomycetes; Neocallimastigales. The record is from RNAcentral.
UCGUCUAUAUACGUAUAGCAUAUCAAUAAGCGGAGGAAAAGAAACUAACUAGGAUUCCCUCAGUAACGGCGAGUGAAGCGGGAAGAGCUCAAAUUUGAAAUCUUCAAGGUUUUACCUUGACGAAUUGUAGUUUAAAGAAGUGUUUUCUGUUGGAAUUUUGGUAAAAGUUCUUUGGAAUAGGACAUCAUAGAGGGUGAGAAUCCCGUAUUUGACCAUUAUUUCCAACUUUGUGAUACACUUUCAAAGAGUCGGAUUGUUUGGGAAUGCAGUCCAAAAUGGGUGGUAAAUUUCAUCUAAAGCUAAAUACUGGCGAGAGACCGAUAGCGAACAAGUACCGUGAGGGAAAGAUGAAAAGAACUUUGAAAAGAGAGUUAAACAGUACGUGAAAUUGUCAAAAGGGAAGCGUUUGACACCAGUGUUGUUUUCUCGAAAAUCAAUUAAAAAUGGUGGGAUUUUGUGUUGUAUUGACUUUAUCAGCUUUCUGCACUUUUUUCCUGUCUUUUUUAAUGCACUUUUCGUUUAACAAGUCAACAUCAAUUUCUUUUGUUGUAAAAGAGGUCAUUGGAAGGUGGCUUUCUUUUCGGAGAAAGUGUUUAUAGCCUUUGACUUCUGCAAUCGGAGAGAUUGAGGUCUGCAGCGUAGAUCCUUCGGGGUUAGAUGCAUUUGUGCUAAGUUAUAGCCUUUCAUAGACAACUUGUUGACUAUGAUCAGUCAUGUAGCUUACUCGCUUAUGUCAUUUUACCUACGCUUAGGAUGUUGACGAUCAGCUGAGCGCG